This 548-nucleotide ribosomal RNA is filed under the name Fusarium oxysporum. RNAcentral describes it as "eukaryotic LSU rRNA". The stretch from base 169 to 322 matches the Rfam family "5.8S ribosomal RNA". Lineage: Eukaryota; Fungi; Ascomycota; Sordariomycetes; Hypocreales; Nectriaceae. The record is from RNAcentral.
AACCUGCGGAGGGAUCAUUACCGAGUUUACAACUCCCAAACCCCUGUGAACAUACCAAUUGUUGCCUCGGCGGAUCAGCCCGCUCCCGGUAAAACGGGACGGCCCGCCAGAGGACCCCUAAACUCUGUUUCUAUAUGUAACUUCUGAGUAAAACCAUAAAUAAAUCAAAACUUUCAACAACGGAUCUCUUGGUUCUGGCAUCGAUGAAGAACGCAGCAAAAUGCGAUAAGUAAUGUGAAUUGCAGAAUUCAGUGAAUCAUCGAAUCUUUGAACGCACAUUGCGCCCGCCAGUAUUCUGGCGGGCAUGCCUGUUCGAGCGUCAUUUCAACCCUCAAGCCCCCGGGUUUGGUGUUGGGGAUCGGCGAGCCCUUGCGGCAAGCCGGCCCCGAAAUCUAGUGGCGGUCUCGCUGCAGCUUCCAUUGCGUAGUAGUAAAACCCUCGCAACUGGUACGCGGCGCGGCCAAGCCGUUAAACCCCCAACUUCUGAAUGUACCUCGGAUCAGGUAGGAAUACCCGCUGAACUUAAGCAUAUCAAUAAGCCGGAGGAA